RNAcentral lists this long non-coding RNA (213 nucleotides) under Pan troglodytes (chimpanzee). Its description in RNAcentral is "lncRNA (ENSPTRG00000053154.1)". The record is from RNAcentral. Lineage: Eukaryota; Metazoa; Chordata; Mammalia; Primates; Hominidae.
UUUUAGUAAUUCUUUCAUUGUUAAGAUUAACUUAACCAUACAAUUCUAACUGCUGUCUUAUUUCCUAGGGAUGAUUUCACCUCACUCUUCCAUUUCUGAAGCCUGUGGGAUUUUCUAAAAUUUAGGACAAACAAUCAGUCAAAGAAAGAGAAAGCAUUCCACCAAAGGAGAAAACACCAAGGAUCCGCUUUCAGGUUGCUGUAUAAACUCUAG